AAUUUUUAGAGUGUGCUUUUGAUUUUAUGGUGAAAUUAAAGAUUUUUGUGUGUGUGUGUUUAAGAUUAUAAGAUUUAGUGAACGAACCAGAUUAGUACCUGGUUAGAUAAAAAUUAAAAGAGCAGGAGUAAAGUUGAGUUUAAACUGUAAUAAUAUUGGCAGGCUUUUAAAUUAUCUUUGGAGGCUGAGUAGUAAUUGAGAGCCCUCAUUUACAACUCUUAUUUUGGGCUCAUGUAUGAUCGUUUAUUUUAUUCUUAAGGAUUGUAAUUUUAGUUUUUAUCUGUUAAAAUAGAUAUAUACUUGGUUUAUAUAGGAGGUUAAUUUGGCCUACAAUGUUGUAUUUUUUGGAUAGUGCUGGCAGUUGGUACUUGAAAUUGUAAAAGACAGUAAAGCCCCUUUAAUGGGGGAUUGAAGUUUAUUUAAAAGCGG
RNAcentral lists this ribosomal RNA (429 nucleotides) under Contracaecum rudolphii. Its description in RNAcentral is "partial small subunit ribosomal RNA". Lineage: Eukaryota; Metazoa; Nematoda; Chromadorea; Rhabditida; Anisakidae. The record is from RNAcentral.